CAGUAGCCACGGGAACACGUAGGGUGCGAGCGUUAAUCGGAAUGACUGGGCGUAAAGGGCGCGUAGGCGGCGAUCAAAGUCAGGCGUGAAAUUCCUGGGCUCAACCUGGGGGCUGCGCUUGAUACUUGGUUGCUUGAGUGGGGAAGAGGGUCGUGGAAUUCCCAGUGUAGAGGUGAAAUUCGUAGAUAUUGGGAAGAACACCGGUGGCGAAGGCGGCGACCUGGUCCUUGACUGACGCUGAGGCGCGAAAGCGUGGGGAGCAAACAGGAUUAGAUACCCCGUAGUCCUGUCUCUUAUACAC
Molecule: ribosomal RNA, 301 nt
Filed under: uncultured bacterium
Lineage: Bacteria
Description: partial 16S ribosomal RNA
Rfam family: Bacterial small subunit ribosomal RNA
Source: RNAcentral